Molecule: long non-coding RNA, 641 nt
Organism: Bactrocera neohumeralis
Lineage: Eukaryota; Metazoa; Arthropoda; Insecta; Diptera; Tephritidae
Exons: 2
Source: RefSeq, a predicted model, not a curated record
AAAUUAUAAUAUUUUUAGAUGGCAGAAAGUAAACAACGCACAGUUUGCUAUCCAUAUUUCCAAUAUUCUUAACUUUUUCGCACACUUUUAUUUCACUUUUUUUUUUAAUAAAUAAAGAAAUAUCAGCUGUCUAAAUACACAAGUCUGCCGUCUGUCUCCAUAAAAUUUCAGUGCGCAUUAGCGUUGCUUAAGGCGCAUUAAUUUUGCUCGUCUGUCAGGGCUAUAACUCCGAAAUUCAUGCUAUUUUAAAGUUUUCCUUCGUUAAAGGCAAAUGCGCUAGAGAAACGUCCCGUGAGAUGAAUGGUGUUUUGGGGGAUGGUACUCUAUCAGUUCGAACAGCGGAGGAAUGGUUUUGACGAUUCAGAGCGGGAGUUGCGACGUCAAACGACUCCACCACUGUCAAACUCGUCGACACACAAAAAAAGACAAGUAUUUUUUAAAUAUUUUUAUUUCUCUGAAAUGUAAGUUGAAUCUUCAGAUUCAACUACAUACAUAUGUACAUAUAUAAGAUAUGCCGGGUCGUUGAUGCUGAGGAAUGUCAAGUCAGCACAACGGCUUCAGGUAAAUUUAGGAAAUAAGAUUUUUGUAAAGAAUAAAAUGAUGAUUAAUAAACUGGACGGCAAGCCGCUCAGUACGGUAAA